CCUACGGGGUGCAGCAGUGGGGAAUAUUGGACAAUGGGGGGAACCCUGAUCCAGCCAUGCCGCGUGUGUGAAGAAGGCCCUCGGGUUGUAAAGCACUUUCAGUGAGGAAGAACGCCUGGUGGUUAAUACCCAUCAGGAAAGACAUCACUCACAGAAGAAGCACCGGCUAACUCCGUGCCAGCAGCCGCGGUAAUACGGAGGGUGCGAGCGUUAAUCGGAAUUACUGGGCGUAAAGCGCGCGUAGGUGGCUUGAUAAGCCGGUUGUGAAAGCCCCGGGCUCAACCUGGGAACGGCAUCCGGAACUGUCAAGCUAGAGUGCAGGAGAGGAAGGUAGAAUUCCCGGUGUAGCGGUGAAAUGCGUAGAGAUCGGGAGGAAUACCAGUGGCGAAGGCGGCCUUCUGGACUGACACUGACACUGAGGUGCGAAAGCGUGGGUAGCAAACAGGAUUAGAUACCCGUGUAGUC
Molecule: ribosomal RNA, 465 nt
Filed under: Vreelandella stevensii
Lineage: Bacteria; Pseudomonadati; Pseudomonadota; Gammaproteobacteria; Oceanospirillales; Halomonadaceae
Description: partial 16S ribosomal RNA
Rfam family: Bacterial small subunit ribosomal RNA
Source: RNAcentral